AGAAUCAACGCUGGCGGCGUGCCUAACACAUGCAAGUCGAACGCGAAAGUCCCGCAAGGGAUGAGUAGAGUGGCAAACGGGUGAGUAACACGUGGGUGACCUGCCUUCGAGCGGGGGAUAACGUCCCGAAAGGGACGCUAAUACCGCAUAACGUGCCGCUUUUUAACAGGUGGACAUCAAAGCUGGGGAUCGCAAGACCUAGCACUUGAAGAGGGGCCCGCGCCUGAUUAGCUAGUUGGUGGGGUAAUGGCUCACCAAGGCAACGAUCAGUA
Molecule: ribosomal RNA, 272 nt
Filed under: uncultured soil bacterium
Lineage: Bacteria
Description: partial 16S ribosomal RNA
Rfam family: Bacterial small subunit ribosomal RNA
Source: RNAcentral